Molecule: long non-coding RNA, 655 nt
Organism: Corvus hawaiiensis (hawaiian crow)
Lineage: Eukaryota; Metazoa; Chordata; Aves; Passeriformes; Corvidae
Exons: 4
Source: RefSeq, a predicted model, not a curated record
AUGGAGCUCUGGCUCAAAAGAGGAAUCUGCCCUUGGAGAUUUAAAAACAGCCCUUUUGUUAUGACUCUUUGCUAUAAUCUUCAUCUUCUUGCCUUGAGGUGGAAAUCAACUGUCAUGAAGUGCCAGCUAUAACUAGUCAGGAGGUGAGGGUGAGGAGAUGAAGAAGUGAAAUCACAGAGACCAGAGGGGUUUAGACACAGUGAGAGGAUGGAGGAAUAAAACAACUGUUAUAGAUGUGUCUAACCAGGAAUUGAUCCUGAAUCACAGUCACUAGAAGGAUCAGCUGUGUUUACAUAAGGAACCACCAUGCAGAAUGUGCUAAAUACAGAGGCAAAACCACACAUGUCUGCUGAGGGGCACUGUUUGAAUCCUCUGCUGUUGCAAAAUCAUCAGAUGCAUUCAAACCUCUCUUCUGGUUCUAAAUGGAUCCUGAAUUAUAUGAGCAUGUUCCUUCCUGAUAAGUACUUGGGAAAUAAUCUGUGUGACCAUAUUCAGCCUCCAAGCCCCACAGCCCUCGCUUUUGGAUGAAGUGGAGUGAAUCUGCAGGCUACCCUUGCUGCUGAAAUGCUUCUCUGAAACAACAGCUUAAGGAAUGAUAACAUUAUCUCACACAUAAGGGAGUUUUGGAAAAUGCAAUGGAUGAUAACCCAAUGCA